RNAcentral lists this ribosomal RNA (271 nucleotides) under uncultured bacterium. RNAcentral describes it as "partial 16S ribosomal RNA". It matches the Rfam family "Bacterial small subunit ribosomal RNA", at positions 524 to 794 of the family's 1533-position model. The record is from RNAcentral.
GACGAACCACACGAACGUUAUUCGGAAUUACUGGGCUUAAAGGGUGCGUAGGCGGCGCGGACAGUUGGGUGUGAAAUCCCUCGGCUUAACCGAGGAACUGCGCCCAAAACUACCGUGCUCGAGGAAGAUAGAGGUGAGCGGAACUUACGGUGGAGCGGUGAAAUGCGUUGAUAUCGUAAGGAACACCUGUGGCGAAAGCGGCUCACUGGGUCUUUUCUGACGCUGAAGCACGAAAGCUAGGGGAUCAAACAGGAUUAGAAACCCGUGUAGU